CCGCCCCCGCCCGCGCAGCUGUAGUGGUGGCGGUGGCCCCGGCCGCCUCUGACACUUCCUGCAGCCCGGCGGGAGCGGGGGCCAUUUAAAGAGACACCGGGCAAUUCCCCGCCAAUGGCCGCCCGAAGCCGCGGGGUGGAGCCGGCUCGCGGCCGCGUCACUGGGGAAAAGCGGGGGUGUGAGUAUGGGUUUCUCCUCUACCAAGAUCCAUGCCAAUGUGCAACAGCCUCCUUAUGUAAAAGAAGUCAUGUGCAGACUUCUUCUACUGAAUCCCUUCACUUGACCCAUGGGAGUGAUCAUCCUUGAUUGUGAGGGAUUGCUGCUGCCACCAGCUAACCUAUUUUUUAGUUUCUCAGCCUUUUGGCUAAGAUCAAAUGUUGCCUGCCUUUGAACAGGGCCGUCUGCUUCAGCCACUGGGACACGAAGUGCCGACGGUGCUGCUAUGUGGUAGAGAACCUCCCCCACGUGCUACGCAGCUGCAAGCCUCAUGCCAGAGCCUGGCAGCUCCACCACAACACUGUCCAGGACCACCUGGUGAGGGUCAUCCCGGCCGCAGCAGGGGAGAUCUCCGUGAACUGCACCAUCCCAGGCUGCGAGAGCCAGAUGCGACCCAACAUUGUCAUCAUGAAUGAAGAGGCCAAGAAGGUUGUGAUCAUGGACGUAACCAUCCCCUUUGAGAACCGGCACCAAGCCUUCACCAAUGCCCAGGCUCGCAAGCAGGAGAAGUACACCCUGCUGGCCGACACCCUAAGGGGCCAUGGCUACAACGUGAUGGUCGACAUGCUCAUCGUGGGAACGCUUGGAGCCUGGGACCCCAGCAAUGAGAGCGUCCUGCAUGCCUGCUGCGUCUCCCACUGCUACACCAAGCUGACGCGCUGCCUCAUGGUGUCCAACACCAUCUGCUGGUCCCAUAACAUCUACAUGGAACACAUCACGGGCCACUGCCAGUACUCCGACCCCACCAGAUGAACCACCGCCGGACCAGACCCAGAGGAGACCUCCUGAAACCCCCCUCUGCACCAGAUGGACUUCACUUUGAGAGGAUUCUUCAGCUACAGAUGACCCCGCUCCACCCGAAGAGGACCCCCACGAUGAGACUCUAUAUGGACUGAGACACUUUCUUCACGCUACUUCCUCCACCAUUGCGGACUAUUGUAACGAGUUUGUGUGUAUCUACUUUCUCUCUGUGUCACAAAGCCCCUCCCACCCCUUCCCCUAGCCCCACUUCCCCCACCCCAGGCUCAGUUGGCUAACAUUGUAUUUUCUGUAACCUAGUUGCGUUCCCCUCCUCACCCCCAUCCCUCUAAUGUUGGUCCCUCACUCGGACGAUUUGUAUUUCCCUACUGGCUUUGUCAUCUUUUUGGAUUCACAAUCCUAAACAUCUACUAAUAAAAGUCAGUUUUUGGCACCACAGGGAGAAUGUCAGGGCUGGCUCUAGCCCUCCUUCUGCCAGUCUGGUAGUACAGUAGUUCCAGGCCUGGUGGCAGUUCCUUGUAAAAGGGAACACCCACACAUUUUUAUUUUUUUUUUUUUAAGAGCCACACGCAGAGAAAAAAAAAAAAGUUUCUCACCAGCAUGUUUGCUCAAUAUGGGCCAUGUACGUUAUAGUUAUGCUCUGUGUUGGUUGCAUUUAAUCUUCAUACUUGUUUUCCAUUACUGAGCACAGGUAGACAAAGUAUUUAAUGUGGUUUAUUUGUAUGCAAGUGUAAGGUAAGGGGAUUUUUCCCCAUGGUGAUUGAGGGGGGGAAAAACCUUGUCUUAUAUUUAAGUAAAUACAGAAGGUACCUUAAUAUCUAGGUUGCAAAUUCAAAAGCAGCCAGAUGUGACAGUAGUCAUACCAUAGCUUUAGAAUGACCAUGGUUAGGUUUAGGAGGACCUUUGACUUUCUGAUAUAUUUUUGCAAACUGUAUGACCAGUGUUAAGUUUGGGUAGAUGAUGAAGUAUCAUAUGAAUGAUGAAUGGUUACGUGUCACUGAAAAACUGGCUGGAUUCUUCAACACUUCAUUUUCAGACAUUCUAACAUCUAGACUUUUAAACUGGAUUAACAUUUUUGUAAAUAUGUUUAACAUCAUUUUGGCUAUUAGCCUACCCUGAAACACAUGCAGAACCACAGCUUUUUAUAAAUACUUUUAAAAUGUUUUUAUUUUUCCAUUAAUUCAUAUAAACAUGAAUGUAUUCCCAUAUCCAUGUGCACUGGACAAAAUUAUUUUAAUUGCACUCAUAUUAUUAUAAAGAUAUAUAUAUAUUAAUAAAAGUGGCGAACUAGGAAA
Alligator mississippiensis (American alligator) is the source of this 2270-nucleotide RNA transcript. RefSeq lists it as uncharacterized. The record is from RefSeq and is a predicted model, not a curated record. NCBI's taxonomy places the organism in Eukaryota, Metazoa, Chordata, Crocodylia, Alligatoridae. The transcript is spliced from 2 exons.